RNAcentral lists this ribosomal RNA (388 nucleotides) under uncultured bacterium. Its description in RNAcentral is "bacterial SSU rRNA". It matches the Rfam family "Bacterial small subunit ribosomal RNA", at positions 28 to 417 of the family's 1533-position model. The record is from RNAcentral.
AGUGAACGCUGGCGGCAGGCCUAACACAUGCAAGUCGAGCGGUAAGGCCCUUUCGGGGGUACACGAGCGGCGAACGGGUGAGUAACACGUGGGUGACCUGCCCUCAGCUCUGGGAUAAGCCUGGGAAACCGGGUCUAAUACUGGAUAUGACUCCAUGACGCAUGUUGUGGGGUGGAAAGCCUUGUGCGGCUGAGGAUGGGCCCGCGGCCUAUCAGCUUGUUGGUGGGGNGAUGGCCUACCAAGGCGACGACGGGUAGCCGGCCUGAGAGGGCGACCGGCCACACUGGGACUGAGACACGGCCCAGACUCCUACGGGAGGCAGCAGUGGGGAAUCUUGCGCAAUGGGCGAAAGCCUGACGCAGCGACGCCGCGUGAGGGAUGACGGCCU